This 373-nucleotide ribosomal RNA is filed under the name uncultured bacterium. Its description in RNAcentral is "bacterial SSU rRNA". It matches the Rfam family "Bacterial small subunit ribosomal RNA", at positions 93 to 500 of the family's 1533-position model. The record is from RNAcentral.
UAGUGGCGGACGGGUGAGUAACGCGUGGGAAUCUGCCCUCAGGAGGGGGAUAACGGUUGGAAACGACCGCUAAUACCCCAUAUGCCGAGAGGUGAAACGAAAUUCGCCUGAGGAUGAGCCCACGUCUGAUUAGCUAGUUGGUGGGGUAAAGGCCUACCAAGGCAUCGAUCAGUAGCUGGUCUGAGAGGAUGAUCAGCCACACUGGGACUGAGACACGGCCCAGACUCCUACGGGAGGCAGCAGUGGGGAAUUUUCCGCAAUGGGCGCAAGCCUGACGGAGCAACGCCGCGUGAGGGAUGAAGGCCUCUGGGCUGUAAACCUCUUUUCUCAAGGAAGAAGAACUGACGGUACUUGAGGAAUAAGCCACGGCUAA